This 253-nucleotide ribosomal RNA is filed under the name uncultured bacterium. RNAcentral describes it as "partial 16S ribosomal RNA". It matches the Rfam family "Bacterial small subunit ribosomal RNA", at positions 524 to 776 of the family's 1533-position model. The record is from RNAcentral.
GACAGAGGGUGCAAGCGUUGUUCGGAAUUAUUGGGCGUAAAGGGCGCGUAGGCGGCACUAUAAGUCUGAUGUGAAAUCCCGGGGCUUAACCCCGGAAGUGCAUCGGAUACUGUUGUGCUUGAGUUUCGGAGAGGGUGGUGGAAUUCCCAGUGUAGAGGUGAAAUUCGUAGAUAUUGGGAGGAACACCGGUGGCGAAGGCGACCACCUGGACGAAUACUGACGCUGAGGCGCGAAAGCGUGGGGAUCAAACAGG